This 204-nucleotide long non-coding RNA is filed under the name Brassica napus (rape). RNAcentral's name for it is "long non-coding RNA (BNAP_LNC022565)". Lineage: Eukaryota; Viridiplantae; Streptophyta; Magnoliopsida; Brassicales; Brassicaceae. The record is from RNAcentral.
UUUGAAAUUUUGAAAUCAAACAUAUAUUUUAUAAAUUUUAUAUAAUAUAUCAUAAACGCGACUUUAAAUCUAUACUAUUACACAAAUAUAUAUAGUAUAGUCAGAUUUUAUUUCCAAAUGAGACAUAAUUUUAUUGUGUUCUAUUCCAUUUGGAAACAAAUAACAUCUCUUUCUUUUUCUUUCUUUUUUUUCUCUCUCCCCCUC